CCGCUGCCAAUUAUUCAAGAUACACAUAGUUUGCGUUUGUUGUUUACAGGUCAGUUUUUAACCAUUUGACUUGUCUUUUAUACAGUAUAGUAGUUCGCAAAAAAUAAACUUUUGAUAAAGCAUAUAGGGGUAUAUAGUAGACCAUUCUAGACUAGGGAUGAAAAUGGAGUGGAAACUUUCCGCUUUUCCGGAGGAAAAAUGAAAAUGGAGAGGAAAUAUGAAAGCGGAAAUGGAAAUUUGCAAAACGGAAAUGGAAAUGGAAUUUUUAAUGCAAAAACGGAAACAAAAAUGGAAGAGUGUUUUUCGGUGGAACAUAUGUGGAAAUGGAACUUUUCGUUUCCAUGAAUAUGGAAUUUCCCAUUUUUACUAUAGGCCUACGGCUGUUUUGUAGCCCAACCAUCAAAUAACACCUAAUGAGACAAUGAGCAUAAUGGAUCAUUUAAGGCCCAACUUAUACUACCAUAUAUGUACUCAGCUAGACCCUAUACACAAUUGUCAUGUACUAAUACAAUACUAGGAUAUGUUGCUAACAUAAUCCAAUUAUUUUGUAGACAUGUUAGCAAUUCAUUAAUUCUUAUUGUCCGUAUUACUCUAUGAUUCAAGGGGUUUUAAAGUUCUGGUCAACGCCCACUUCUAUUUCUGUAUCCGCUUUGUAUAUCUAUUUCUGUAUCCGCUUUGUAUUCGCUUCGUGUCUGUUUUCGGUAGUAUCUGUUUCCGUAUUCAUUUUUGGGGUUUUUGUAUUUGUUUCCACUUCUGUAAAACAAUAUGAAAACAAAUGUGAUAGCACUCAGUUCCGUCCGUUUCCGCUCCAUUUUCAUCCCUAUUCUAGACCAUAUCUUGAAUACAUAGUUUAUAAUAUUUUUUGGUUUUUAAUAUAUGAGAGUUCCCAUCUUAGUUAGUGGAACCGCUUUGCUUCACAGUAUACAAUGCUUUGCAUGUCAGUAUAAUUCAUAAGUGUUUUUUUGUUUUCAGGUGUUGAUAAUACGGUGAGUGGUUGAAGGGGAACUGGGGAAGCAUGAGGAGAAGGGCAGUACAGAGGGUGGAAUGAGCAUGUGACUUGUAUGGAAUGAACAAAUUUUCUUUUAAAUGAUUUGAGUGUAUGCUGAUACGUGCAAGUCAAUCAUAUGAAUUCCCAACUAGCUUGUGUGUGUUCAAUAUUUUGUUGUGCAUUGAUAAAAUGUUUUCAGUGCCUGAGUGCGCAAGUUGAAUUUUGAAACAGAUGAGAGAACCACCAUGCAUAAUGGAAUUUGCCCUUCAGGAAGGUUCGGGUUUGCUGUUGUGAUUAAAAGUAUAGGAGAUUUAUAUACCUAUAAUAGAACAGUUCCUCAAGCUAAAGGCUUCUGUAACAUCUGAACUCUGUUUGUGCGAUUUUUUUACCAGCAUUGUAAAAGGCCAUGUUGCACCGGUGUAUUGGGUUUCAAUUCAGGGAGGUGACAUCUUAGUAAAUUGUGGGUUUGAUCUCCAAGUGUGCUUGAACAUAAUCAUGCCAAGGAAGAUAUUGUAUCGCAUCUUUGCGGUAAAGUUGUCCUUGAUGAACACUUCAUUCCUGAGGAGAAUAUCUCCAGAAGGAGUAGUAUCAGAAAGGAGUGUACCAGCACAGAUGUAGCGAGAGCUCCUGAGUUUGCUAAAGGAAGAGCAAAAAGUCUAGAGCCUCCUACUUCCUCCAAUCAAACAAAAUCUUUGGCUAAGAAGUCUUGGAAGAAAAGGAAAAGAAAGUUUGUAAGAGUAGCUAUGCACCCCUACACUCCAAAGUACCCUAAUGAUGAGGACGAAGAGGAAGAGGAGGUUCCUGCUACUAACCCACCCCCUUUCAAGCAAAUAAAGCUAAUGAAGGGUGCCAUGCCAAGCAAG
RNAcentral lists this long non-coding RNA (1851 nucleotides) under Hordeum vulgare. Its description in RNAcentral is "long non-coding RNA (HVUL_LNC007059)". The record is from RNAcentral. Lineage: Eukaryota; Viridiplantae; Streptophyta; Magnoliopsida; Poales; Poaceae.